Molecule: long non-coding RNA, 1057 nt
Filed under: Felis catus (domestic cat)
Lineage: Eukaryota; Metazoa; Chordata; Mammalia; Carnivora; Felidae
Description: lncRNA (ENSFCAG00000047710.1)
Source: RNAcentral
AGGAGGCAAAAUGUUACUGUAGCGACUGGGCCUCGCGAGCCGUGGGGGCUCGAGGUUCCAAGGCUCGGAGCCUGCAGAAGGCUCCCCGCCUUCACUUUGCACCCUUACGAUGGCCUCCCGACAAGGCGGUGGCGUCGGAGGGGAACAACCGGCGGACCCCAGGGCUCAUCGUGGCGAAUCGGGCAGAGUUCCUUCAGAGGUGGCUUUCUGUGGUGGUUGCCCUGUUACAACCAUUCCACAGUGGGUGCUGGCACGCACUCCUAGAACCUGCUCCUGGCCUGCGGCUCUCACGCCCAUCCUUCCAUAAAGGUUGAAUGUUCCGGGCCAAAGGGGCUACCUUCCCUGAGUCUGUCCCACCCUCCGCCAUCCAAUGACUGCCAGCCGAUGUGGGGCGGAGAGGCCCAGUCCCUUUCCCUCAGCAGGCUCAGCCCAUUCCCUGGGAUGUGGGUUUUCUGGGCUGCUGCCGUGAGUUGCCACGAGCCAGGUGGCUUAAACCUCUAGCAGUGCACGCCCUCGUGGCUCUGGGGCCAGAAGGCCAAACUUAAGGGUGUUAAUAGGGCUGCGCUCCUUCCAAAAGCUGGGAGCAGGGGAGCGUCUUUCUUGCCUCUCCGGGUCUCGCGGGGCUCUCCGCAUUCCUGGACUGGUGGCCGCACGCCUCCAUCCCCUGUCUACGCCUCCGUGCGGGCUUCUCUCCGUGUGUCUCUUCUGUCUCUCACAAGGACCCGUGUCAUUGGAUUUAGGGCACACCUGGAGAACCCAGGAUGACCUCCAGAUUCUUAACUUCAUCACACCUGCAAAGACCCUUUUUCCAAAAAAGGUCACAGUCACAGGUUCCAGGAGUUAGGAUGUGACACAUCUUUUCAGGGGCCACCGUACACCCAACUAGACCUCAAGAGCCCAGGCCCAGGCCUGCCCAGCCAGUCUCCCCGGGGGAGGGUCAGAGCCCGCAGCGAAGGACCACAGGGGACUCUUCUGCCUCUGUUCCGGGGAAGGGCCCCCAAAGCUGUGUUGCCCUUGGCCUCCUGCGAGGCCUGCUCCCUGCAGCCACAAGUACCCU